RNAcentral lists this ribosomal RNA (900 nucleotides) under uncultured archaeon. RNAcentral's name for it is "partial 16S ribosomal RNA". It matches the Rfam family "Archaeal small subunit ribosomal RNA", at positions 314 to 1224 of the family's 1478-position model. The record is from RNAcentral.
AAUCCAGNCCUACGGGGCNCAGCAGCGCGAAACUUUACAAUGCGGCANCGUGAUAAGGGAACCUCGAGUNCCGUACAUGCGGGCUGUCCAGNUGUNUAAAGCACNCNGAAGAAAGGCCCGGGCAAGACCGGUNCCAGCCGCCGCGGUAAUACCGGCGGCUCGAGUGGUGGCCACUUUUAUUGGGCUUAAAGCGUUNGUAGCUGGGUCGGUAAGUCUCUUGGGAAAUCUGGCAGCUUAACUGUCAGGCGUNUAAGAGAUACUGCUGAUCUUGGAACCGGGAGAGGUGAGGGGUACUUCGGGGGUAGGAGUGAAAUCCUGUAAUCCUCGAGGGACCACCUGUGGCGAAGGCGCCUCACCAGAACGGCUUCGACAGUGAGGGACGAAAGCUGGGGGAGCAAACCGGAUUAGAUACCCGGGUAGUCCCAGCCGUAAACGAUGUGCGUUAGGUGUAUCAGUGACCACGAGUCACUGAGGUGCCGAAGGGAAACCGUGAAACGUACCGCCUGGGAAGUACGGUCGCAAGGCUGAAACUUAAAGGAAUUGGCGGGGGAGCACCACAACAGGUGGAGCCUGCGGUUUAAUUGGACUCAACGCCGGGAAGCUCACCGGAUAAGACAGCGGAAUGAUUGCCGGGCUGAAGACUUUGCAUGACUAGCUGAGAGGAGGUGCAUGGCCGUCGUCAGUUCGUACUGUGAAGCAUCCUGUUAAGUCAGGCAACGAGCGAGACCCACGCCANCAGUUGCCAGCAUGAUCUCCGGAUUGAUGGGGANACUGUUGGGACCGCCUCUGCUAAAGGGGAGGAAGGAAUGGGCNACGGUAGGUCNGCNUGCCCCGAAUUAUCCGGGCUNNACGCGGGCUACNAUGGGCNGGACNAUGGGNANNGACGCCGAAAGGCGAAGG